Molecule: ribosomal RNA, 508 nt
Filed under: uncultured bacterium
Lineage: Bacteria
Description: bacterial SSU rRNA
Rfam family: Bacterial small subunit ribosomal RNA
Source: RNAcentral
AGAGAUGGAUUGGUGGCCUUCGGGAACUCUGAGACAGGUGCUGCAUGGCUGUCGUCAGCUCGUGUUGUGAAAUGUUGGGUUAAGUCCCGCAACGAGCGCAACCCUUAUCCUUUGUUGCCAGCGGUUAGGCCGGGAACUCAAAGGAGACUGCCAGUGAUAAACUGGAGGAAGGUGGGGAUGACGUCAAGUCAUCAUGGCCCUUACGAGUAGGGCUACACACGUGCUACAAUGGCGCAUACAAAGAGAAGCGACCUCGCGAGAGCAAGCGGACCUCAUAAAGUGCGUCGUAGUCCGGAUUGGAGUCUGCAACUCGACUCCAUGAAGUCGGAAUCGCUAGUAAUCGUGGAUCAGAAUGCCACGGUGAAUACGUUCCCGGGCCUUGUACACACCGCCCGUCACACCAUGGGAGUGGGUUGCAAAAGAAGUAGGUAGCUUAACCUUCGGGAGGGCGCUUACCACUUUGUGAUUCAUGACUGGGGUGAAGUCGUAACAAGGUAAGCGUAGUGCU